This 153-nucleotide ribosomal RNA is filed under the name uncultured bacterium. RNAcentral's name for it is "partial 16S ribosomal RNA". It matches the Rfam family "Bacterial small subunit ribosomal RNA", at positions 356 to 526 of the family's 1533-position model. The record is from RNAcentral.
UAGGGAACUUCCACAAUGGACGAAAGUCUGACGGAGCAACGCCGCGUGAGUGAUGAAGGCCUUCGGGUUGUAAAGCUCUGUCUUCUGGGACGAUAAUGACGGUACCAGAGGAGGAAGCCACGGCUAACUACGUGCCAGCAGCCGCGGUAAUAA